RNAcentral lists this non-coding RNA (570 nucleotides) under Pan troglodytes (chimpanzee). Lineage: Eukaryota; Metazoa; Chordata; Mammalia; Primates; Hominidae. The record is from RNAcentral.
AUCCGCCGGAAGGAGGGCGCCGCAUUGCCGGUCUUCUCAUUGCGGGGCUGCUAGAGGCAACCUGAAGUCAGGAUUCUUUCUUUCCUGCUGUGAGAGGGACGUCCCUCCUCCGUAGCUUUUGUCUCUCUAUUGCCUGCGCCGUGUCCUGGACUGCUCACGGGAGUUCUGCAGGAGACGCCGGAAUAUCUGGAAGCUGAAAAAUGGAAAUAAAUGGAAAGACCAGAAUAUUGAAGAUCACUACAGAAAUCUAAGGAUGAAAUCAACAGCCAAUCUGGGUGCCAUUGAGACAUCUAAAGCCUUACUAUGAGCCAGAUACCCAGGAAGAGGUUUUGGGAGGAUCCCAAAGACUCCCUGGUUGCAGCCAUGUCAAGACUGAUGCUGAGGAGGACCCCAACUGUCACGAGCAACACCUGCCUGGGGACAGAUCAAGAAGCUGUCACAGAUGACGGAGAAAAACCUGAGAAAAGCGGGACAACUAGACACAAUGAGUAAUUUAAUGAUAGCUAUGACAGCGGUGAUCACCAUUGCCAUGAGUAUUCCUUCAACAAGGGCUGACACAGAGAACAAUUA